Molecule: unclassified non-coding RNA, 299 nt
Organism: Aotus nancymaae (Ma's night monkey)
Lineage: Eukaryota; Metazoa; Chordata; Mammalia; Primates; Aotidae
Rfam family: Metazoan signal recognition particle RNA
About the family: The signal recognition particle (SRP) is a universally conserved ribonucleoprotein. It is involved in the co-translational targeting of proteins to membranes.
Source: Ensembl
GCCAGCCGUGGUAGUGCAUGCCUGUAGUCCCAGCUACUCGGGAGGCUGAGGCUGGAGGAUUGCUUGAGUCCAGGAGUUCUGGGCCGUAGUGCGCUAUGCCAAUUGGAUGUCUGCACUAAGUUUGGCAUCAAUAUGGUGACCUCCUGGGAGCGGGGGACCACCAGGUUGCCUAAGGAGGGGCGAACCAGCCCAGGUUGGAAAUAGAGCAGGUCAGAACUCCCGUGCUGAUCAGUAGUGGGAUCGUGCCUGUGAAUAGCCACUGCACUCCAGCCGGGACAACUCAGCAAGACCUCGUCUCU